UCAAUUGCAGUUGUGAUUCGACAGCGAUUUUGCUUCUUUUUCUCUUCUUCCUUCUUCUUUUCUCUUCUUUCUUCUCAAUUCUGGACCUUUGGACCUUAGAACCCCUCUCUUAGCCCCUCUUCAUGCUUAUUUAUAGAAAAACAAGACAAUUGGGGUCAUGACAGCUCGCCUAGUGAUGCAAUCCUACCCCCCAAGGGUAUUGGAUAGAAGACCCCAAGAGGCUUGGGCUAGAGCUACUAAAGAAGGCCCUAGGGUUCUCAUGAACCUUAGGGUAGAUUUUUGAGCCCAUGAGUUAAGGUUGGAUCCACUCUUCUUUGUAAAUAUUAGAAUAGGUUUUUCCUUCGUUUGGGCCUUGUAUUUUGGCCAUUCUAGUAGUAUAGAGUUUUAGCCUUGUAUUUCGAGGCAUUUUGAGUAGUCUUUGUAGUAGAGAAUUUUUUUGUUUUUUUAUGUAUUUUGUCAUGGGGGUGAGCUUAGCUAUUAUAGGGGGUGUGUAGUUAAGCUCUAGCUUCUCAUCUCAAGGAGGUGAGCUUAGCUAUUAGAAAGGUGUGUGUAGCUAAGCUCUAGCUUCUUUAGGAAUCUUCUCAAGGAAGCUUCUCAAGGAGGUGAGCUUAGAUAUGAGAGGGGUGUGUGUAGCUAAGCUCUAGCUUGCCAAGGAAGUUUUCUCAAAGAAGUUUCUCAAGGAAGUUUUCUCAAGAAAGCUUCUCAAGGAAGUUUUCUCAAGAAAGCUUCUCAAGGAAGCUACCUAGUCUAUAAAUAGAAGCAUGUGUAACACUUGUUGCAACUUUGAUGAAUGAGAGUCUUGUGAGACACAACUCAAAGUUCAACUUCUCUCUCUUUUUCUUCCUUCAAUUUCGUGCUCCCCCCUCUCUCUUUGUCUCUCUCAUUCUUUUCCUCCAUUGAAGCAUCCUCUCCGAGCUUCUUAUCCAAGGCUCAUCUUGGUGGUGAAGCUCCUUCUUCCAUGGCUUAUUCCCUAGUGG
This 977-nucleotide long non-coding RNA is filed under the name Glycine max (soybean). RNAcentral describes it as "long non-coding RNA (GMAX_LNC001476)". The record is from RNAcentral. Lineage: Eukaryota; Viridiplantae; Streptophyta; Magnoliopsida; Fabales; Fabaceae.